GACGAACGCUGGCGGCGUGCUUAACACAUGCAAGUCGAACGGAAAGGCCCUGCUUGCCGGGUACUCGAGUGGCGAACGGGUGAGUAACACGUGGGUGAUCUCCCCUGCACUUCGGGAUAAGCCUGGGAAACUGGGUCUAAUACCGGAUAGGAGCCAUUUUUAGUGUGAUGGUUGGAAAGUUUUUUCGGUGUAGGAUGAGCUCGCGGCCUAUCAGCUUGUUGGUGGGGUAAUGGCCUACCAAGGCGGCGACGGGUAGCCGGCCUGAGAGGGUGGACGGCCACAUUGGGACUGAGAUACGGCCCAGACGCCUACGGGAGGCAGCAGGGGGGAAUAUUGCACAAUGGGCGCAAGCCGGAUGCAGCGACGCCGCGGGGGGGAUGACGGCCUUCGGGUUGUAAACGCCUUUCGCUAGGGACGAAGCUUUUUGUGACGGUACCUAGAUAAGAAGCACCGGCUAACUACGUG
Molecule: ribosomal RNA, 465 nt
Filed under: uncultured bacterium
Lineage: Bacteria
Description: partial 16S ribosomal RNA
Rfam family: Bacterial small subunit ribosomal RNA
Source: RNAcentral